This 447-nucleotide ribosomal RNA is filed under the name uncultured bacterium. RNAcentral describes it as "partial 16S ribosomal RNA". It matches the Rfam family "Bacterial small subunit ribosomal RNA", at positions 29 to 523 of the family's 1533-position model. The record is from RNAcentral.
AACGAACGCUGGCGGCAGGCUUAACACAUGCAAGUCGAACGCACCGCAAGGUGAGUGGCAGACGGGUGAGUAACGCGUGGGAACCUACCCCUUGGUACGGGAUAGCUCCGGGAAACUGGAGAUAAUACCGUAUGUGACCUGAGGGUCAAAGAUUCACCGCCAAGGGAUGGGCCCGCGUCGGAUUAGCUUGUUGGUGGGGUAACGGCCUACCAAGGCGACGAUCCGUAGCUGGUCUAAGAGGAUGAUCAGCCACAUUGGGACUGAGACACGGCCCAAACCCCUACGGGAGGCAGCAGUGGGGAAUAUUGGACAAUGGGCGCAAGCCUGAUCCAGCCAUGCCGCGUGAGUGAUGAAGGCCCUAGGGUUGUAAAGCUCUUUCACCGGGGAUGAUAAUGACGGUACCCGGAGAAGAAGCCCCGGCUAACUUCGUGCCAGCAGCCGCCGUAA